RNAcentral lists this ribosomal RNA (497 nucleotides) under uncultured bacterium. Its description in RNAcentral is "partial 16S ribosomal RNA". It matches the Rfam family "Bacterial small subunit ribosomal RNA", at positions 28 to 507 of the family's 1533-position model. The record is from RNAcentral.
GAUGAACGCUGGCGGCGUGCCUAAUACAUGCAAGUCGAGCGAACAGAUGAGGAGCUUGCUCCUCUGACGUUAGCGGCGAAAGGGUGAGUAACACGUGGAUAACCUAACUAUACGACCGGAUUAACUUCGGGAAACCGGAGCUAACACCGGAUAAUAUAUCGAACCGCAUGGUUCUAUAGUGAAAGACGGUUUUGCUGUCACUUAUAGAUGGAUCCGCGCCGCAUUGGCUAGUUGGUAAGGUAACGGCUUACCAAGGCGACAAUGCGUAGCCGACCUGAGAGGGUAAUCGGCCACACUGGAACGGGGACCCGGUCCGAAUUCCACGGGAAGGCGGCGUUGGGGAAUCUUGCGCAUGGAGGGAAGUCUGAACGGGGCAACGCCGGUUGGUGAAUGAAGGUUUUCGGAUGUAAAAACUUUUUUAUUGGAGAGGACCAAGUGUGUAGGUAACUGUGCACGUCUUGACGGUACCUAAUCAGAAAGCCACGGCUAACUACGUG